RNAcentral lists this long non-coding RNA (1613 nucleotides) under Cinara cedri. Lineage: Eukaryota; Metazoa; Arthropoda; Insecta; Hemiptera; Aphididae. The record is from RNAcentral.
GUCGCGUUUCAUCACGUUUGCAACGUUUUCAUAAAUAAUACCGUUCAGAAUUUUUUGACUAUAUUAUAUUAUUAUAUAAAUCUAUGAUAAUGAUCACUAUAAUUUAUUUAAUAAUAACAGUAAUAAUACUUAUAAUUAAGAUAUUACAAUAACAAUAUUAUCUUUAAACAACGGCCCGACAAUAUUUACAAGAUGGGGGGGGAAAUAAAACACGAGAACGAUUUCAAAACGCACUUAGGAUGUCGAGAUUCGUAUACAUAAUAAUGCAAUGAUAAGAAAAUAAUAAUAAUAAUAAUAAUAACAAUGCUCUCACAACGGUAAGAUGGAUAUGGUGUUUGGUUGUUUCAUCCCCGUUAACCGUCGGACACCUGUGUAAUAUAUUUUCCUCCGGAGAUGUAAUACAAUCAAAUUUCGUCCACAGACCAUUUACCUCCUACCCCAAGUAAAAAAUCUAAACAGUUUCCUCUAUUUUCCACGUUUUCUUCUUUUCCACGAAGAAAAACGAGAAAUAAUUGUUGUUACCUACCCUCCUAUAACAAUUUGUAUAGUUAUAAGUAUGUAUCUAUAUGAAUGCCGUACAUUUUUUUUUUUUUUAACGACCAAGAAUAUUGUUUAUAUUAAAACCAAGAACGGGGUCAUUAAUAAACAGGUUAUGUAAAAGUUUAGUAAAAAAAAAAAAAAAAAUAUGUAGAUUUUAAAUUGUUUAAAACAAAUAAAACGAAAAAAAAUAAUAAUAAAUAAUGUAAGCGAUGAUGUUUACUAUUUAUUAUUAUGUCUAUUGAUUGUAAUACUAUUGGCAUAGUCGUCUAAACGGUUUUGUAACACGAUUAAUAUUGCUCCUCGACGUUUUAUGAUCAUGGCAUGAUAUUGUAUCGUUUUGAAGUUUGCGAAAUAUUGCUCGGUAUCCGAAAGGGCUCCGGUGGUUUUGAUGAUUUGGCUUGGGAUCCCGUCGGGGUUUGCACUCGGAGAAGCUCAACCGCAUAGACACACGGUUUUAGUCCAUAAAAAAAAAAAUUAAAAAAUAAAUAUACUUGUAUACACAUAUAACAUAAAUUAUGUUCGGAGGAAAAUGGUCUCGCGUCCGUAUUGUCCUUGUGGGUCCGCAUUAAACGUUCCAUAACGUGAGCGUAUUUGUCUGCGUUUAUGGGUGCCCGAAUUCGAAAUUUAUUGUCGCCGUAAUAACGGAGUUCGAACUUGAGAUUCCGAUACGCGCCUCCUAAUGAGAUAAUAAUAUGAAAUGAUUUUUCCGACAAACGGAUGUAACGGUGCGUGGACGUUGAAACGAUAAUAUUUCUGUAGUGGUUUGCGCGUAGACCGAGUCGAAAUCAAAACUGGGUGUAAUCACAUUGGUAUAUCACCCGGAUAUGCGGCGCUGCUGGAGUGAUGUGUACAGACGGCGUCGGAGGCGGACGUUUUCAGGCGGGACUGAGGUGGUCGAAAAGAUAAAUAUCGGCCAACGGGAAAGUGGAUUAAAGAAAUUAUGAUCGCUGAUAAUAAACCGUAUAUGUAAAUUUACGAGGAUUAAUGUGCGGUUUGACGUUUUCGCGUGUUACAAUAUUUUAAUAUUCCCUAAAAACAAAAACAAUUCAGUUUGUUGAGCUUUUUUUUUUUUU